AAGAUAUGUUUAUUCGGGGUCAAGGUGGCGAAGAUAGAAGACAAAUAAUAAUCCCCAGUGAAACUUGAACUAGCGUCCGCCAGAAGAUUGCACACAAGAUCAGUUGUAUCUAUUCUGAUAGGGACGCCAUCAUAGUGAGCACGAUAUCUGAAGGUACAAGCAUCUUUGCCGGCCUGGUGACCUUUGGCAUCCUUGGAGUGAUGUCCGAGAAAACUGGCGUCCAUAUUUCGGAUGUAGUUUCCAGCGGUCCAGGACUAGGUUUUGUAGCCUACCCAGAAGCUCUGGCGCAACUUCCGGUGCCUCAGUUGUGGUCCUUCCUGUUCUUCCUCAUGCUUCUUGCUGUGGGCCUGGAUGGUCAGUUCAUGAGCGUGGAGGUCAUCACAACAGCC
Long non-coding RNA from Haliotis rubra (blacklip abalone), 389 nucleotides. RefSeq lists it as uncharacterized. NCBI's taxonomy places the organism in Eukaryota, Metazoa, Mollusca, Gastropoda, Lepetellida, Haliotidae. The transcript has 3 exons. The record is from RefSeq and is a predicted model, not a curated record.